UAAUACGGAGGAUGCAAGCGUUAUCCGGAUUCAUUGGGUUUAAAGGGUGCGUAGGCGGCCUUUUAAGUCAGUGGUGAAAUCCUGCCGCUUAACGGUAGAAUUGCCAUUGAUACUGAAAGGCUUGAGUCCAGUUGAGGUAAGCGGAAUGUGUAGUGUAGCGGUGAAAUGCUUAGAUAUUACACAGAACACCAAUUGCGAAGGCAGCUUACUAAACUGUAACUGACGCUGAUGCACGAAAGCGUGGGGAGCGAACAGGAUUAGAUACCCUGGUAGUCCACGCCGUAAACGAUGUUCACUCGCUGUUUGCGAUACACAGCAAGCGGCCAAGCGAAAGCAUUAAGUGAACCACCUGGGGAGUACGAUCGCAAGGUUG
This 373-nucleotide ribosomal RNA is filed under the name uncultured bacterium. RNAcentral describes it as "bacterial SSU rRNA". It matches the Rfam family "Bacterial small subunit ribosomal RNA", at positions 521 to 896 of the family's 1533-position model. The record is from RNAcentral.